Molecule: ribosomal RNA, 408 nt
Filed under: uncultured bacterium
Lineage: Bacteria
Description: partial 16S ribosomal RNA
Rfam family: Bacterial small subunit ribosomal RNA
Source: RNAcentral
GACGAACGCUGGCGGCGUGCUUAACACAUGCAAGUCGAACGACGUGGCGCACGGGUGAGUAACGCGUAAUCAACCUGCCCUUCAGAGGGGGACAACAGAUGGAAAAGACUGCUAAUAACGCAUACUGUAGGAGGGGAUUGCGUCUGAUUAGCUAGUUGGCUGGGUAACGGCCCACCAAGGCGAUGAGCAGUAGCCGGUCUGAGAGGAUGAACGGCCCCCUUGUGCCUGCGACACGGCCCCAACUCCUACGGGAGGCAGCAAGGGGGAAUCUUCCGCAAUGGACGAAAGUCUGACGGAGCAACGCCGCGUGAGUGAUGACGGCCUUCGGGUUGUAAAGCUCUGUUAAUCGGGACGCGGUACCGGAAUAGAAAGCCACGGCUAACUACGUGCCAGCAGCCGCGGUAAUAC